UGAGAUUGUAGGAGAACUCCAGAAGUUUAGUUUAGUGGUAGAAGGUAGACUGUAAAUCAUGUUGAUUUCUAAGUAUUGAAAUAAGAUUAUACAUGGUGUAGACAAAUAUAUACUUUUAGUAUAUGUAUUUAUUUCCGUCUAUAUAGUUUUCUUCUAAAAGAAUUAUUAUAUACAGAAAUUCUGAGAGCCAUAAAUCUGGUUUUUCUAUAUAUACUAUGAUAUCUUUUGAAUAAAUCAAAAUUUCAAAAAAUAAGACCCAAAAGGAAAAAAGAAAAAUUGAAGCCCUAACCCGCGUCUCCUGGUUCGUCCUCCUCGGCGCAAGUACGCUUCUCCCUUCCGCUUCAUCUUCUUCCUUCGCACCUGCUUCCUUAGCGCAGUGACUCCUCGAUGCUUUUCGAUUGUGUAUUUGAAGUUCUCCUCUUUCUUUUUUAGGUAAAGCAACAAGAAGAGCUGCGAAGAUUCAAAUUAACAUGGUAAUUCUUUAUUUACUCAUGGAUCUCAGUUUUGAUUUAGUGCGCGCUUAUUUUAGACUGAAAUUAGUUGUUAAAAAUUCAGUCUGGAAGGAAAGAGACGGUGCUGGAUUUGGCAAANNNNN
RNAcentral lists this long non-coding RNA (595 nucleotides) under Carica papaya (papaya). Its description in RNAcentral is "long non-coding RNA (CPAP_LNC004057)". Lineage: Eukaryota; Viridiplantae; Streptophyta; Magnoliopsida; Brassicales; Caricaceae. The record is from RNAcentral.